UACGUAGGGUGCGAGCGUUGUCCGGAAUUAUUGGGCGUAAAGGGCUCGUAGGCGGUUUGUCGCGUCGGGAGUGAAAUCCACUGGCUUAACUGGUGGCUUGCUUUCGAUACGGGCAGACUGGAGGUAUGCAGGGGAGAACGGAAUUCCUGGUGUAGCGGUGAAAUGCGUUGAUAUCCAACGGAACUCCGGUGGCGAAGGCGAGGUGCUGGACCCUUUCUGACGCUGAGGCGCGAAAGCCAGGGGAGCGAACGGG
This 253-nucleotide ribosomal RNA is filed under the name uncultured bacterium. Its description in RNAcentral is "partial 16S ribosomal RNA". It matches the Rfam family "Bacterial small subunit ribosomal RNA", at positions 524 to 776 of the family's 1533-position model. The record is from RNAcentral.